RNAcentral lists this long non-coding RNA (1785 nucleotides) under Lathyrus oleraceus (garden pea). RNAcentral's name for it is "Pisum sativum (pea) long non-coding RNA (PSAT_LNC003185)". Lineage: Eukaryota; Viridiplantae; Streptophyta; Magnoliopsida; Fabales; Fabaceae. The record is from RNAcentral.
CAUCCUUUCAAUUUCCAGUUCGUGGUUUCAUCGUUUAAGAACUAACUCUUUCUACCUUCCAAUUUUUCGGUUGAUGCUAGUUCGUGAUUUUAGUUCCAACUAGUCAAAGGUUUAAUGCUGCAGCCUGUAGGAAGGCCAUUAAUACCUUUGUUAUCCUUGAUGAACAUUCCUUUAGAGUGGUUGAGGGUGUUGGUUUUAAGCAAAUUUGUAAACAAUUGCAACCCCAAAUGGCUAUCCCUACUAGGAGGACCGUUGCUAGGGAUUGUUUUCAGCUUUACCUAGCUGAAAAGUCACGUCUUAAAGCCUUUUUUUAAAUCUGAUUGUACUAGGGUUGCACUAACCACAGACUGUUGGACUUCGAUACAAAACCUUAGUUAUAUGGCCACCACUGCACACUUCAUUGACACUGCUUGGAAGUACCAAAAAAAAUUUAUUAGUUUCUCUUUAGUUCCAAAUCACAAAGGUGAUACCAUUGGCAUGAAAGUCGAGGACGUUUUGAGGGAAUGGGGGCUUAGGAAAGUGUCUACAAUUACCCUGGAUAACGCAACAGCAAAUGAUAGUGUGAUAAUAAUUUGUUAUGAAGGUGCCAGCUAAUUGAUCAUAGCACGCAAUGGGAAGAGAGAUAAAUUUGAGUUUGGGUUGCCUACUCAACAACACUGUAUGUCAAGAAGCAGUGGAUGCAUAUCAUUAAAAUUUAUUUCUAGUUCUGCUAUAGUAGAUGCAGUUCUUAACAUUUAUCCUUUCAUAUAAUGGCAGGAAAAUUAUUGGUGCGCGGUUGGUAUAUUAAAGGAUAUGAAGUAGAAUUCGGUAAUCACACUUCUGGUACUAGUUUUCUGUAAUCACACUUCUUUUUUCAAAUGAUUUUUCAUCACUUUUUAUUGCCAGAUUAAUGGUUCCAGUCCCACAACUAUUGGUUUAGAGGUUAUUAAUAGGCCCACAACUCUUGUUGUGAAGAGAUUGAUCUUUGAGACAGUAACCUUGAGGUGGAAGUUGAAUCAUUUCUCUUUCGGAGUAACAACUUCAGGUUGGUUUCUAACUGAGUUUUGAUAUUAUGCCUAUAAAUGAAUUCAUUUACUGAGAAGCUUGUUGGUUAAAUAUUCCAUGUGUAUUUCUCAUCUCAUCUUUUUCCUUCUGUUUUAUGUUUCUAAUUGACAAUUCUUGUUUUGUUGGUUGUGUUUUGGUAUGGAAGAUGGAGCGCGACAAAAGUAGCUUGCAAGGAGUUGGAGUUCCUAGCUUGCAAGGAGUUGGAGUUCCUAGCGGAGUUGUAGAUCAAGGAGUGAGUCAAGGUAAUGCCAUCACCUGUCAUUUUUAUACUGAGUGUUUGUUUAAUAAGUGAUACAUGUUAUGCUGUCAUUUUUAAAUGUAUGAAUUAUAGGAGCAGCUGCUGGUACGCACUCCCUCCACUUCGAAAAGGAACUUAAUGCUAGUGGUAGUAGAAAAUUCUACGGUUUGGGAAGGUUUAACAUUUACCGAUGAGCUGAACCUAUAGCCGCGUGUAAACACUGUCAUAAAAGGUACCGAUGUGACCUAAAACACAUGGUACUUCUAACAUGCUAGCUCACUCGAAAGUGUGUUACAAAAACCUGCCCUUUUGUUGAAAGACCCAAUCAGACAAACCUUGUAAGCGGCGAGGGUGGGUUUUUAGUUCCAACUAGUCAAAGGUUUAAUGCUGCAGCCUGUAGGAAGGCCAUAAUACCUUUGUUAUCCUUGAUGAACAUUCCUUUAGAGUGGUUGAGGGUGUUGGUUUUAAGCAAAUGUGUAAACAAUUGCAACCCCAAAUGGCUA